GUGCGUCGGAGUGAGCCCGGAUGGGGCGGCGGGCUUCGGGAGCGCCCGGGCUGAUCCGAGCCGAGCGGGCCGUAUCUCCUUGUCGGCUCCGCUGAUUCCCGGCUCUGAGGAGGCCUCUAGGCAGCCGCGCAGCUUCCGUGUUUGCUGCGCCCGCACUGCGAUUUACAACCCUGAAGAAUCUCCCUAUCCCUAUUUUGUCCCCCUGCAGUAAUAAAUCCCAUUAUGGAGAUCUCGAAACUUUAUAAAGGGAUAUAGUUUGAAUUCUAUGGAGUGUAAUUUUGUGUAUGAAUUAUAUUUUUAAAACAUUGAAGAGUUUUCAGAAAGAAGAAUGUCUACAUAUUCAACUUUCCCCGCCGGGGUUCCUGUCUCAGAAAGGAGUCUUGCUCGUGCUGGUUUUUAUUAUACUGGUGUGAAUGACAAGGUCAAAUGCUUCUGUUGUGGCCUGAUGCUGGAUAACUGGAAACUAGGAGACAGUCCUAUUCAAAAGCAUAAACAGCUGUAUCCUAGCUGUAGCUUUAUUCAGAAUCUGGUUUCAGCUAGUCUGGGAUCCACCUCUAAGAAU
This 562-nucleotide small RNA is filed under the name Pan troglodytes (chimpanzee). RNAcentral describes it as "processed transcript". Lineage: Eukaryota; Metazoa; Chordata; Mammalia; Primates; Hominidae. The record is from RNAcentral.